UUAGAGUUUGAUCCUGGCUCAGGAUGAACGCUAGCGGGAGGCUUAACACAUGCAAGUCGAGCGGCAGCACGGACUUCGGUCUGGUGGCGAGCGGCGCACGGGUGCGUAACGCGUAUGCAACCUGCCUUAUACAGGGGGAUAGCCCAUGGAAACGUGGAUUAAUACCCCAUAACAUUAUGAAUUCGCAUGGAUUUAUAAUUAAAAUUUCGGUGGUAUAAGAUGGGCAUGCGUCUGAUUAGCUAGUUGGUGAGGUAACGGCUCACCAAGGCGACGAUCAGUAGGGGUUCUGAGAGGAUUAUCCCCCACACUGGUACUGAGACACGGACCAGACUCCUACGGGAGGCAGCAGUGAGGAAUAUUGGUCAAUGGGCGCGAGCCUGAACCAGCCAUCCCGCGUGCAGGAUGACGGCCCUAUGGGUUGUAAACUGCUUUUCUACGCCAAGAAAGGCCCCGACGUGUCGGGGAUUGACGGUAGCGUAGGAAUAAGCAUCGGCUAACUCCGUGCCAGCAGCCGCGGUAAUACGGAGGAUGCAAGCGUUAUCCGGAUUCAUUGGGUUUAAAGGGUGCGCAGGCGGGAAAGUAAGUCAGUGGUGA
This 594-nucleotide ribosomal RNA is filed under the name uncultured bacterium. Its description in RNAcentral is "bacterial SSU rRNA". It matches the Rfam family "Bacterial small subunit ribosomal RNA", at positions 1 to 597 of the family's 1533-position model. The record is from RNAcentral.